This 548-nucleotide ribosomal RNA is filed under the name uncultured Funneliformis. Its description in RNAcentral is "SSU rRNA". It matches the Rfam family "Eukaryotic small subunit ribosomal RNA", at positions 548 to 1098 of the family's 1831-position model. The record is from RNAcentral. Lineage: Eukaryota; Fungi; Glomeromycota; Glomeromycetes; Glomerales; Glomeraceae.
UUGGAGGGCAAGUCUGGUGCCAGCAGCCGCGGUAAUUCCAGCUCCAAUAGCGUAUAUUAAAGUUGUUGCAGUUAAAAAGCUCGUAGUUGAAUUUCGGGAUCAAGGAAUCGGUCAUGCCUUGGUAUGUACUGGUUUUAUUGGUUCUCACCUUCUAAAGAACCAUAAUGUCAUUUAUUUGAUGUUAUGGGGAAUUAGGACUGUUACCUUGAAAAAAUUAGAGUGUUUAAAGCAAGCUUACGCUUGAAUACAUUAGCAUGGAAUAAUGAAAUAGGACAUCAGAUUCUAUUUUGUUGGUUUCUAGGAUCGAUGUAAUGAUUAAUAGGGAUAGUUGGGGGCAUUAGUAUUCAAUUGUCAGAGGUGAAAUUCUUGGAUUUAUUGAAGACUAACUACUGCGAAAGCAUUUGCCAAGGAUGUUUUCAUUAAUCAAGAACGAAAGUUAGGGGAUCGAAGACGAUCAGAUACCGUCGUAGUCUUAACCAUAAACUAUGCCGACUAGGGAUCGGACGAUGUUAAUUUUUUAAUGACUCGUUCGGCGCCUUACGGGAAAC